AUCACGCCUGGGUGGGCACUCUGAAGGAACUGCCGGUGACAAGCCGGAGGAAGGUGGGGAUGACGUCAAGUCCUCAUGGCCCUUAUGGGCUGGGCUACACACGUGCUACAAUGGCGGUGACAAUGGGCCGCGAAGGGGCGACCUGGAGCGAAUCCCCAAAAACCGUCUCAGUUCGGAUUGCACUCUGCAACUCGGGUGCAUGAAGUCGGAAUCGCUAGUAAUCGUGGAUCAGCACGCCACGGUGAAUACGUUCCCGGGCCUUGUACACACCGCCCGUCACACCAUGGGAGUUGGUUCUACCUUAAGCCGGUGCGCUAACCGCAAGGAGGCAGCCGACCACGGUAGGGUCAGCGACUGGGGUGAAGUCGUAACAAGGUAGCCGUAA
Molecule: ribosomal RNA, 385 nt
Filed under: uncultured bacterium
Lineage: Bacteria
Description: bacterial SSU rRNA
Rfam family: Bacterial small subunit ribosomal RNA
Source: RNAcentral